This 533-nucleotide ribosomal RNA is filed under the name uncultured bacterium. RNAcentral's name for it is "partial 16S ribosomal RNA". It matches the Rfam family "Bacterial small subunit ribosomal RNA", at positions 30 to 507 of the family's 1533-position model. The record is from RNAcentral.
AGUGAACGCUGGCGGUAGGCCUAACACAUGCAAGUCGAACGGCAGCACAGUAAGAGCUUGCUCUUACGGGUGGCGAGUGGCGGACGGGUGAGGAAUACAUCGGAAUCUACAUUUUCGUGGGGGAUAACGUAGGGAAACUUACGCUAAUACCGCAUACGACCUACGGGUGAAAGCAGGGGAUCUUCGGACCUUGCGCGAUUGAAUGAGCCGAUGUCGGAUUAGCUAGUUGGCGGGGUAAAGGCCCACCAAGGCGACGAUCCGUAGCUGGUCUGAGAGGAUGAACCGCCCAAGGGGAAGGGAGGCAGGGCGCAGGCGACGAUGGGAGGCAACAUUGGAAAUGAGAGGAGGUCGAGAGUCCUACGGGAGGCAGCAGUGGGGAAGGGUGGACAAUGGGCGCAAGUUUGAUCCAGCUAUACUGCGUAGGUGAAGAAGGCCUUCUGGUUCUAAAGUGCUUUUUCGGUGAAAAAAGAGCAGGAGGUUACUACCCCGGUGCCCUGACGGUACCUAAAGAAUAAGAACCGGCUAACUUCGUG